UACAGAGGGUGCAAGCGUUAAUCGGAAUUACUGGGCGUAAAGCGUGCGCAGACGGUUAUAUAAGUCGGGUGUGAAAGCCCCGGGCUCAACCUGGGAAUUGCAUUCGAGACUGUGUAGCUAGGGUACGGAAGAGGGAAGCGGAAUUCCAGGUGUAGCGGUGAAAUGCGUAGAUAUCUGGAGGAAUACCGGUGGCGAAGGCGGCAUCCUGGACCGGCAUUGACGCUGAGGAGCGAAAGCUAGGGGAGCAAACGGG
This 253-nucleotide ribosomal RNA is filed under the name uncultured bacterium. RNAcentral's name for it is "partial 16S ribosomal RNA". It matches the Rfam family "Bacterial small subunit ribosomal RNA", at positions 524 to 776 of the family's 1533-position model. The record is from RNAcentral.